RNAcentral lists this long non-coding RNA (266 nucleotides) under Gossypium barbadense (sea-island cotton). RNAcentral's name for it is "long non-coding RNA (GBAR_LNC012259)". Lineage: Eukaryota; Viridiplantae; Streptophyta; Magnoliopsida; Malvales; Malvaceae. The record is from RNAcentral.
UGGAUUGAAAAACAAUUAAAAAGCGGAAGGACCAAAGGCGCAAAUAGACCAUUUCUAAAAAAAAGCGGAUCCUGAGGUGGGCUGGUUGAUUAACGGCAUCAUUUUGGGGCUUAUGUGUAGCACCCCAAACCCGGCCCAGACGUUAUGGCCGGAUCCGGCAUGCCACAUCAAAAACGUUAAAAAAAUUUUCUAUUCUAAGUCCAGAAAAUCGUAUUUGAUGUUCAAAAGAUUAAUUCAUUAAGGGUUAAGGUGAAUGGAAGUUGUGC